UACGAAGGGGGCUAGCGUUGCUCGGAAUCACUGGGCGUAAAGGUGCGUAGGCGGCUUUAUAAGUCGGGGGUGAAAGCCUGUGGCUCAACCACAGAAUUGCCUUCGAUACUGUAGAGCUUGAGACCGGAAGAGGUAAGUGGAACUGCGAGUGUAGAGGUGAAAUUCGUAGAUAUUCGCAAGAACACCAGUCGGCGAAGGCGGAGCUUGCCUUGG
RNAcentral lists this ribosomal RNA (213 nucleotides) under uncultured bacterium. RNAcentral describes it as "partial 16S ribosomal RNA". It matches the Rfam family "Bacterial small subunit ribosomal RNA", at positions 524 to 734 of the family's 1533-position model. The record is from RNAcentral.